This is a small nuclear RNA of Rattus norvegicus (Norway rat), 107 nucleotides long. NCBI's taxonomy places the organism in Eukaryota, Metazoa, Chordata, Mammalia, Rodentia, Muridae. The record is from Ensembl.
GUGCUCACUUCAGCAGUACACAUACUAAAAUUGGAAUGAUACAGAGAAGAUUAACAUGGCCCCUGGGCAAGGAUGACAUGUUAAUUCAUGAAGCAUUCCAUAUUUUA